AAAAGAAAAAAGAAAAAAACGCAACGCUAGGGUUUAGGGUCGCUGUCAAUCUCCCCACGAAACGAAGGUCUGCUCUGCUCAGAUUUUGAUUCUCCAUUUUCUUCCCCCAACGUCAAUGCAAUUUCCCAAUUUCGACCCGGCGAUUCUCUACAAGUUGUGUUAGAGAUGAAGAAGGGAAAUUUAUAUUAUAUAGGAAGAAAAAGCCCGAGAACAUGUGCUCUUCUUCAACAUCUUUUCACUCUCGAAAACCCCCUUCUUUUCUCACUGCACCGUGGGGUUUCAUAUCCAGUUCUUGGGUUCGGUUGCCCAUUAGAAUCAGGAAGGAACCCUAACUUCGGUAUCCGCUUCAAUUCGUGAGUUAUCUUCGAUUUCUUGGUAUAAAUUAAGUUGCCUCUGACGACUUCAAUGGUUGGGCUAUUGUGGAAGAAUAUACUCAGAAACCGAUCAAAAACGAAUGUCAUAGGUAUGUCUAGAGAUUUGGAAGGUAGAAAAUUCACUUAAGAAAAGAAAAUAUGUCAUGCUGCUCUUCAAACUUUGAGGUAUUUCUUUUUGUUUAUUUAUUUAUUCAUUAUUAUCUUGAUUCGCUUUUCUUCCCCCAUGCAGAUGCAAAACAAUGACAUGCACAAUAUAUCGAAAGAUUUGAUAUCGUUGAACACAUACAUGCACAAGCACCCAUAGCUUUUAUUUGAUUUUUUGUGGGGGUCAAAACAGAAACAUAUUUCCCACCAUUCAAGGCUUUCUUUCUACCUAUGGAAUUUAUCUUGUGUCUAAGAAGAUAUCGAGCAGACAAGAGGAUUCUUUUCACUUCUUGUCGACUAACCAAAUUAGGUAACAUGGUAUGGUAUCACAUUACAGAAUCAAGAUAUUUGUAUGCAUGCUUUCUGUUGUACUGCAGCAAGCUGGCGUACGUCCGGUCCCAUAUUCCAACAUACAUGGACUCGUCAUUGGGACUCAGGGAUACCCCGGUGAUCUCCCCAAAGAAAUCUAUCUCUUGCUUUUGCUUGUAGUUUCCUUUAACAGUGUAUAUGUGCACAAAGUCCGCAGGUUCAGCCGCCACCAGGAACUCCCCAUCUGCUGAGAAACAUAUCUUUCUGAUUGCACCUAUGUGUCCCUUCAAGAUUGUUAUUGAUGCUGACAGGUUUCUCAAGUCCCAAACUCUGCAGGUUUUGUCCUGAUUUCCGGUGGCAAACAUCAUGCCCUCUGGGUGCCACGCAGAUGUGAACGAGUAGUCGAGAUGACCGGAAACUGAAGCGAUUGUCUGAAGACACGGAUAAAUCAGAAUAGCUUAAUUCAAUGAGGUACAUGUAUGGAUGGCAUUGUAAGAAGAGACCAAAUAUGUUAUAUGGCUACUGUCUUCACACAUAUGUAUCUCAUGGAAUAAAGUUUGAGAGAUGUGUAAUUCACCUUAGAAGGAAGCGUUGCGAGAGGCAAAUCAAUAAUAUUUCAACAUGACUUCCAAAAGUAAUUCGUGCAAGCUUUACGUAACAACUGUAGCUGCUCCAACAAAGCAAGGAAGAUUUGAGCGUACCUUCCCAUUCCGAGCAUCAAUGAGCAACCCAUUAGGAUCAUCUCCCACAACAGUCAAAAGUUUGCGGUUAGGGCUCAUCAUUGCAUGCUGCAUUGAGAGUAAAACAAUAAGCAAAUAGAAAAAGUAAUCGAUUCACAAUAUAGGGAGCAUGCUAUAUGUUUAUGUUCAUUGCACACUGACUUUUAUCUGCUAAGAUGCUGUGCUAGUGAGCCGAUAGCGAAAUAUUCUGCCUGAAUUACUUACAUUUUAUUUAUUGUGUAAAAUCGUCAUGUGUUUAAUGUACUAUAUAUAUAUAUACGAGGAGUUCAAAAUAUUGUGUUUUGUUCAAAAUGUGUGAAACAUCUAUUUUAUGUAUCGCAUGAAAUCGUCGUCUAUUAGCAAAAGUAACAAUUAAGAAUCAUGAGCCUAUUGCGUGGAGUUCUUAUUACUGAAUAGAAAUAAAAUUUGUAAAAUUUCUUUAACAAUAUUCUAUCCAAUCUUGUUGAAGAAAUUAUGUGAAUUUCUAGUAUGAUUUUCUAAGGAUCGCACGCCUAUUAUUUAGACGAUUUUGUAUUGAAUAGAAGUAAUGAAAUUUUUUUCAUGUAAACAAUUUAUUAAUUAAAAAAAAAAUUAAAUAGUUGAUAUUGAUGGCUUCUUUUGCUUCUCUAAUAUUGUAUUUAAAAAUCAAUCGCAUAUAUUAAUCUUCAAAGUGCACAUAAUAGGUGUGCGAUUCUUAGUCAUAUUUUUAGACAGAAGAGUUAUUCUGUGUCGAGUUUAUGUGAACGCUACAGUUCACUCUAUUAGGACCAACCUGACUAGGCCCAGUUGUUGAAAUUUUGACAUAGUAUAGUCUUGUAUGGCUAGGUGAAGAAGAUAGAUAUAACAUAUAUAUAUAUAGACAAAAUUGCUCAUAACUCCUUUGUAGUUUCAAAAUUCAGCAUAAAUUUUCCAUUUACUUUAAAAAUUGCAUUGAGCCCCUUUAUAAUUUUAAAAACGUUGCAUAAAACCUCUCUGUGGUUUCGAAACAUCAGUGUAAAUCUCCACUUCACCUAAAAAAAAAUGCAUGAUGUCCCCUUAUACUUUAAAAAAUAUUGCACGAAAUCCCUUGCCAUGCAAAAAAUAUGGAUAGGAAAUCAUCAUCCCAUCAUACAACGGAGGUUUCAUGAAGGUGGAGUUUCAUGCAACGUUUUUUAAAGUAUAGGAGAGUGCCAUGCAAUUUUUAAAAUAAAGAUAAAUUUUAUGCAAAAUUUCGAAACCACAUAGGAAUUAUAAGCAAUUUUAUCCAUAUAUAUAUAUAUAAGUCGAGAAAGAAAGAACAAACAUUGACGGGCCAAGGGAAGUCGAAGUGGUUAAGGAGCUGAAACCUCUCCAGGUCGUACUCUCUUACACUGCAGUCGUUAUUGCAGGUCACGAAACACAGCCCGCUGCAGUCAGAUUCGUCACCGAAUAAACCAUAAGGAAUGGAACAAUGAGGCAAGGAUUCAGAUUAACCAAGUGACGUACCAACCUGGAAGAGGAGCUGUUGUCGAAUAUUUCAAUGGCAUUCGUAAUGGCAUUCUCAUCUCGCUGUGUGGCCCUCGUGCAAAAGCUUAUCCCCGCUUCGUCGAGACGCUGCAGCAAUGCAAUUCAAGAUAAGUUGUCCAUGGAAGCCUCCGGCCAGCAAGAAUCGAUCUUUUACAGCUAUUGUGCUCACUCCUGGAUGACUCUACGUUUACGACAUUAUUAUGGAUUUCACAUUAAGGCGAGCAUACGAUAGAAUGCACGGUAGGUAGAUAUAACCUACCUCCGAUGGCGCGACAUCAACAUCAACGUGCUCGGAAAAGUUAAUGACUCGGGUCAAGCUCUGGAACGACGACGACCAGUGCAUAACCGAGUUGUUUGAAAUAAGAUACACGUCGUGCUUCGAUGUAGCCCACACUAGGUUUCUUAGCUGCAUCGCCGAAACUAUGAGGGUGUGUUUGUUUGUGGGUUUUCGCUUUUGUGUUGGAUUUUUAAAUAGUAAAAGUUGAAUUUAAACAGUUGGUUGAUAUAAUAUAAAUCGGGUUAAUGUGAUA
This is a long non-coding RNA of Andrographis paniculata, 3561 nucleotides long. RefSeq lists it as uncharacterized. The transcript is spliced from 4 exons. The record is from RefSeq and is a predicted model, not a curated record. NCBI's taxonomy places the organism in Eukaryota, Viridiplantae, Streptophyta, Magnoliopsida, Lamiales, Acanthaceae.